GACACAGCAGAGAAAGUGUUUGCUUUUUUCACCAUUUAGCAUCCAAACCGUGUCAAAAUGUGCAAGCUCACUCUAACUGCAGCUCUCUGUUUGAUCAUCGCUUGCUUGGGUUUACCUGGCAUUGAAGCAAACUCCAACCCCAACUUUGCAUUCUCCUGCAUUGGAAAACCCGAUGGGCAAUACCCCAACCCAAGUGACGAACAUUCUUUCUUCUACUGUGUAGCUGGAAAAGCAUUUCUCACACAAUGCCCAGCAAAUUUGGUCUAUAACUCAGCCAUUAAGGUGUGUGCCUUCCCCGAUACUCCACUUAACAAUGCAAACGACUGCGUUGGAAAAGCAGAUGGGCAGUACACCAACCCUAGUGACCAGCAUUCUUUUCUCAGCUGUGUAGCUGGACUAACCUACAUCAUGCAAUGCCCAGCAAAUUUGGUCUAUGUAGAAGCCGAGAAUAAAUGUUUGUAUUAACCAAAGUUCUACUACAGAUGAUGGAGGCCAAUGUAGUAGAAGAAGAAAUGGGCAAUAUCCCAACCCUGAUAUAAUCAAAUUCUGUUAAAUGUUCAAUUUGCUCUGUUUCUUCAAUGUUUUUGGAUGUGAGAAAUGUAAUAGUGGUUAAAUAUCACAUUGUUUUCUUAACUUCAUUGUUGUGUGUAUAAUCACAUUGGGUGCUUUCUCUUUCGUUUAUGUUUAGCCAUUGGUGAAUGGAUUGGUCUUACAUUAUGACACAAACGUGGCAUAUUGUAAUUAUAUUCAUGUGAUCUCACUCUGAAUUUAAUUCAAUCAUAAUUAUGAAACAAUGAAGCAAUAAAAUACAGCAAAUAUA
This is a long non-coding RNA of Pungitius pungitius (ninespine stickleback), 820 nucleotides long. RefSeq lists it as uncharacterized. The record is from RefSeq and is a predicted model, not a curated record. Lineage: Eukaryota; Metazoa; Chordata; Actinopteri; Perciformes; Gasterosteidae. The transcript has 4 exons.